RNAcentral lists this ribosomal RNA (467 nucleotides) under uncultured bacterium. RNAcentral describes it as "partial 16S ribosomal RNA". It matches the Rfam family "Bacterial small subunit ribosomal RNA", at positions 29 to 507 of the family's 1533-position model. The record is from RNAcentral.
ACGCACGCUGGCGGCGUGCUUCACACAUGCCAGUCGCACGGAAAGGCCCUGCUUUUGUGGGGUGCUCGAGUGGCGAACGGGUGAGUAACACGUGAGUAACCUGCCCUUGACUUUGGGAUAACUUCAGGAAACUGGGGCUAAUACCGGAUAGGAGCUCCUGCUGCAUGGUGGGGGUUGGAAAGUUUCGGCGGUUGGGGAUGGACUCGCGGCUUAUCAGCUUGUUGGUGGGGUAGUGGCUUACCAAGGCUUUGACGGGUAGCCGGCCUGUGAGGGUGACCGGCCACAUUGGGACUGAGAUACGGCCCAGACUCCUACGGGAGGCAGCAGUGGGGAAUAUUGCACAAUGGGCGGAAGCCUGAUGCAGCAACGCCGCGUGCGGGAUGAAGGCCUUCGGGUUGUAAACCGCUUUCGCCUGUGACGAAGCGUGAGUGACGGUAAUGGGUAAAGAAGCACCGGCUAACUACGUG